CUGACAACACGCUAGACAUGGGGCUUCAUCAUCAUCAUCAUCACCUCCACCACCAGCGUUACCAGCCAAACACUCCCAUCAGAGUGAUGUGAUGAUACACUUCUGUAAUCACCAGCUGGCAGAUUUCUGCGGGUAACGUUAGUUGCAGUAUGUGAAUCUGUAGUUGGCCAUUGCAGCACCAUGGACAGCAACAGCUGCACUGAGGAAUACAAACAGUUGGAGCCAGGAGACUUAAUAGUUGGAUCAAUGACGUGAACAUGAGUUCCAUCAACAGCUCCAACAACUCCAGGAAAGCCCACAAUCCUCAUAAAAGUGGCUUGUUUUUGCAGCAUGGUUUGACGGUCAGUUAGAAGGUCAAUGAACUGUCCUAUAGUAGUGGCCAAAAUUGAUGUCCAGCCUAGGAAAUUUGACAUCUUCACCCUUAUUUAAAAAAAACUGUUAAAGAUUUUGUAAGCAUGUUGCAUAGUUGCUCACAGUCAAUUGUUUUAUUUGUGAUAAUAAUGCAAUGAAACAUACCAAAUUGUGCGGUCAUACUUUUUGGCCAUGCUGUCAUGCAAAGAAAUUAUGAACACAUGCAAAAACAAGAGGACCAACGAAAUAUCAAUAACUGAUGAUGUUGUUGUAAAUAUCAAUGUUGCCAAUUUAGUGACUUCCUCAACCCUUUUGAGACUUUUUUCAAAAGCCUAGCAACAAAAUCAAUUUCUUGAACAAACCUUAUAUAGAUUCCAAGACUCCCCCACUGAUCUAUAUGUAUAUAGAUCAGUGAACUUGCCAUUCUGACGUAAUCUAGCAACAUUUAGCAACUGUUUUAGCUACUUUCGGUUGAAAGCAGUUGGCAACACUGGUCAGUGUUUUUUUCCCUCAUAUUUGAAUGG
Long non-coding RNA from Sinocyclocheilus anshuiensis, 875 nucleotides. RefSeq lists it as uncharacterized. The record is from RefSeq and is a predicted model, not a curated record. The transcript is spliced from 3 exons. Lineage: Eukaryota; Metazoa; Chordata; Actinopteri; Cypriniformes; Cyprinidae.